AGCGAACGCUGGCGGCAGGCUUAACACAUGCAAGUCGAGCGGGCACUUUCGGGUGUCAGCGGCGGACGGGUGCGUAACGCGUGGGAACGUGCCCUCUGGUUCGGAAUAACUCAGGGAAACUUGAGCUAAUACCGGAUACGCCCUUUUGGGGAAAGGCUUGCUGCCGGAGGAUCUGCCCGCGUCUGAUUAGCUAGUUGGUGAGGUAACGGCUCACCAAGGCGACGAUCAGUAGCUGGUCUGAGAGGAUGAUCAGCCACACUGGGACUGAGACACGGCCCAGACUCCUACGGGAGGCAGCAGUGGGGAAUAUUGGACAAUGGGCGCAAGCCUGAUCCAGCCAUGCCGCGUGAGUGAUGAAGGCCUUAGGGUUGUAAAGCUCUUUUAUCCGGGACGAUAAUGACGGUACCGGAGGAAUAAGCCCCGGCUAACUUCGUG
RNAcentral lists this ribosomal RNA (435 nucleotides) under uncultured bacterium. RNAcentral describes it as "partial 16S ribosomal RNA". It matches the Rfam family "Bacterial small subunit ribosomal RNA", at positions 29 to 507 of the family's 1533-position model. The record is from RNAcentral.